Molecule: ribosomal RNA, 445 nt
Filed under: uncultured bacterium
Lineage: Bacteria
Description: partial 16S ribosomal RNA
Rfam family: Bacterial small subunit ribosomal RNA
Source: RNAcentral
GUGAGGAAUAUUGCGCAAUGGAGGCAACUCUGACGCAGCCAUGCCGCGUGCAGGAAGAAGGCGCUACGCGUUGUAAACUGCUUUUAACCGGGAAGAAACCCCAGGACGUGUCCUGGGUUGACGGUACCGGAGGAAUAAGCACCGGCUAACUUCGUGCCAGCAGCCGCGGUAAUACGAAGGGUGCAAGCGUUAUCCGGAUUCAUUGGGUUUAAAGGGUGCGUAGGCGGAGCGUUAAGUCAGUGGUGAAAUCCUGCAGCUUAACUGUAGACUUACCAUUGAUACUGGCGCACUUGAGUGCGCUUGAAGUGGGCGGAAUGUGCCGUGUAGCGGUGAAAUGCUUAGAUAUGGCACAGAACACCAAUUGCGAAGGCAGCUCACUAAGGCGAUACUGACGCUGAGGCACGAAAGCGUGGGGAUCGAACAGGAUUAGAAACCCGAGUAGUCC